UGGAUAAUAUUUGUCAAAUACAAACGAAAGUGCUACUAUUUCUAUUUUGCAAAAUUUUUUGGAAGUAAACAAGGCCUUGGUUCCGUCUGUUAAACUUUAGUCCCUAUCACAUCAAAUAUUUGGACACAUAUAUGAAUAUUAAAUAUAGACUAUUUACAAAACUAAAAACAUAGCCAGAGAAUAAUUAGCUAGAGAAUAAUUUGCGCGAUAAUUUUUUAAGCUUAAUUAGUUUAUGAUUGGACACUAAUUGCUAUAGUUACAAAUGUCCUACAGUACCUAUUAAAUUUUAGUCCCUCCAACCAAACACCCCCUUAGCUAGUUUGUUAAGUUGAAGUAUUAAUAUUUAAUACCCAUCAUCAGAAUAUGCAUAGUGCAGUGGGACUACUAGAAUGUAUGUUUUUUCUUGUAAGUUGUAGUGUGUUGCAUAUUUAUGCACAUUUCAUUUCUUUAGUACCGGAGAAUAUGUUCCUAUGUGCUACAUCACACCAAGCUUGGAACUAUGUUUCUUUAUUCUAAAUUUGAAAUGUGCUAGUGUUUCAUGUGUUAGAUUAAUUUGAUUAAAUUGUAGAUAAGCUACAUAAUUCGUUUAAAUAGUUAUAUUGAAGUGAUCUUUUGAUUUUUCAUUCGUGUAACCUUACGAGAUUUACCAAUGGUAUUGACAACUUUUUCAACCGUUUCUAGGCGAAAGUAUUGUCCACUGCUGCACUUGAAGUACAUCUUCUCUGUUCAAGGAUGUUAGAGUAUAUGAGUAUUAGGCCCAUGAGGCCCAUGUAUCCCUAACUAUAUGGCCACCCUGAUUAGGGUUAGCCCAAUAAUGAAAUCAGAAAGUCUAACAUGGUAUCAGCUUAGGGUUUUCUUCCUCCCCUGCUCCCUGCCCACCCCAGCCGCCGCCACCUCUGGCUGGCGCGCCGCCGGCGGCCAUGGCCGGCCGGCCUGAUCCCCCUCCUCCUCCUUUCUACUUCAACCACUUCCCUCCUCUCCUCCCCUCUUCCUGGGCGCAAAUCGCGCAGCAGACGCCGCCCAGAGCCGCCGCCCCUGCCUCUACUUCUUCUGGCGCAGCUGCUGGCCUGGCCGCCGGCGCUUCUGGCGCAGCUGCUGGCCUGGCCGCCGGCGCGGCUGCGGCUCUGGCCGCGCGCGCGGAGCCGGCGGACGCCGCCCAAGAUGGCGCUCGCGCGGAUGCGGACGGCGCCCGCGCGGAUGCGGACAGAGCCGCAACCGACGUCCGCCUGCAGGCGACCGCGCCCGGAGCUGGCCUUCAGGCCGCUCUGGCUGGCGACCAGGACGCGCCCGACGCGGCCACCGCGGCUGCCUACGCCCGGGGUGCCGCUGCUGCCAUCGCAGCUGGCCUGGGCAUGCCUCCGGAUGUCUCCUCUCUGCCGCUGCUCACGGCCUCGGGGCCUCUGCCCAGGGGACCGGCCCCUGGUCUGGCAGCAGGGACGCGCGCGGGAGCUCCGUCCGCGGCCCCCUUCCCUGCCCCGCCUCCGCCGCCCGUGAUGCACCGUCCGGACUCCUCCCUGCUCGCCGCCCUCGUCACUGCUCGUGUUGCGGCUGCGGAGGGCCGGGCCCGCGUGCGUGAGGCCGCUCUUGCUUGGGAGCGUGAGCGAGACGCGGCCGACGCCUUGGCCCACCAGAUCGCCGACGCCGAGCAGUUCCUCGGCCUUCCAGCCUCACCUGACGUCGGGACCUCGUCCUCGGGAUCGGCUUCGGUCGUCUGGCACGAUCCAGCCGACCCCCACGUGGUGCAGCUCCACUACCAGGCAGGGGGCGUCCAGAACAUCCGCCUCCUCGUCCCGGUCGUCCUCGAGCCCGAGUCGCCCUCCUACGCUCGCUGGAGGGACUUGGUCCUCCUCACCCUCCGCCGCUACGCCCUCGACGACCACGUCCUCCUCGACGCCUCGGGGGCGGUCCCGACCCCCUCGUGGCUUCGCCUCGACAGCGUCGUCCUCUCCUGGAUUCUGGGGACGAUCUCCCUGGAUCUCCACGACCUCGUCCGCAACACCCCGAGCGCUCACGGGGCCUGGCUGGCACUCGAGGGCCAGUUCCUGGGCAACGCCGAAGCCCGGGCUCUGCGGCUCGACGCGAGCUUCCGCACCUUCGUCCAGGGCGACCUCUCCGUCAGCGAGUACUGCCGCCAGAUGAAGGGUAUGGCGGACUCCCUCGGCGACCUCGGCUGGCCCGUGGAGGACCGCAUCUUGGUCCUCAACGUUCUCCGCGGGCUCAGUGACCGAUACUCCUACCUCCGGACGUGGAUCACCAGGCAGCGGCCCUUCCCCACCUUCCUGCAGGUCCGUGACGACCUUGUCAUGGAGGAGCUUACUCAGGGCCUACAGCCUGGGUCCACCUCCGCUUCGGGGUCCUCGUCCUCCUCCUCGACUGCUCUCGCUGCCACUCCACCUCGUCCCGCCACCCCACCACAGUCGUCACUUCUGGGUCCUCUUCCCCCCGGGCCGAGCGGGGGUGGGGGGGGCCGUGGGGGCCGCCGUCGUCGUGGUGGGGGACGUGGAGCAGGUCGUGGGGGCAACACGACGACGCUGCCACCUCCACGAGGUGCACCCUGGCCAUCCUACAACCACCCAUGGUCAGGGCGCAUCUCCAUGUGGCCGUUCCAGGCUUCCGGUGGCGAGCCUCGCCCGCCGGCGGCCAUGCUUGCGGGUGCUCCCCCGGGGUUCCCCUCAGUGACCCCGUGGGCGGCCCCGUUUCCGGCGUCCUCGUGGGCUACUCCACCGACGCCCUUGCCCGGGUCGGCCGGCUGGGACCAGGCGGCCUUGGCGCACUCCUUCAGCACCAUGGCCCUGACACCCCCAGUCGGGCCGGAGUGGGUCGCCGACUCUGGGGCUACUUACCACACCACUCCUAAGCCCGGUAUACUUUCUUCUGUUCGCCCUCCUUCUCCAUCUCUCCCUUCGUCCAUUAUGGUCGCUAAUGGGUCUUGUCUUCCUGUCACCUCUGUGGGUGCUGCCGGCCCCCAUGGUUCCUUUCGUCUUCCUGAUGUUCUUGUUGCUCCUUCUAUGGUUCACAAUCUUCUUUCUAUUCGUCGUUUUACAGCUGACAAUUCUUGUUCUGUGGAGUUUGACUCUUCUGGUCUUACUGUGAAGGAUUUGGCUUCCCGGCGUCCUCUGCUCCGAUGUGACAGCACGGGGCCCCUUUACACUCUUCGCUUUCCAGCAUCUGCCUCGCCUCCUUCGCCAGUUUUGUCAGCUGCCUUCGCCACCACCACCUCCACUACUUGGCACCGGCGUCUCGGCCAUCCUGGACGUGAUGUUUUAAUGCAGCUUAGUCGUAGUUCCGAUAUUCGAUGUACUCGGGCUCACGAUGAGCAUUUGUGUCAUGCGUGCCAACUGGGCCGACAUGUUCGUCUUCCUUUUUCUAGUUCUUCUUCUCAUGCGGCCCGCAUUUUUGACCUUGUACAUUGUGACUUAUGGACCUCUCCUGUCAUCAGUAUUUCUGGAUACAAGUACUAUCUUGUGGUGGUGGAUGAUUAUUCUCAUUAUUCCUGGACUUUUCCUUUACGUGCAAAGUCUGAUGCUUUCCCCGCGCUUGUCCACUUUUUCGCUUGGGUGUCCACUCAGUUCGGCCUCACUAUCAAGGCUGUCCAGUGUGACAAUGGUCGGGAGUUCGACAACUCCGCCUCCCGUGCCUUCUUUCUCUCUCACGGUGUCCAGUUGCGCAUGUCUUGCCCGUAUACAUCCUCUCAAAACGGCAAGGCUGAGCGCAUGAUUCGCACCACCAACGACACCGUGCGCACUCUCCUGCUCCAGGCCUCUCUUCCUGCUCACUUCUGGGCCGAGAGCUUGCACACCUCCACUUACCUCCUUAACCGCCUUCCUUCCGCUGCUUGUCCAGCUCCCACACCUCACCACGCUCUCUUUGGUACCCCUCCUCGCUAUGAUCACCUUCGAGUCUUUGGGUGUGCGUGUUAUCCCAACACCACCGCCACCGCUCCUCAUAAGCUGGCACCCCGUUCGACUCUCUGUGUCUUCCUUGGGUACUCCCUGGAUCACAAGGGGUACCGAUGCUACGACCUUACCUCUCGUCGAGUCCUCAUAUCUCGCCAUGUGGUGUUCGACGAGUCGAUCUUCCCCUUUUCCACCACUGCCACUCCUGCUUCCACCUCGGAGCAUGACCUCUCCUCUGUGUUUCCUACUGACCCGGUGGUCCAGCCACCGUUUCCGGUGUUUCCUGCAGGUACUGCUACGUCGCCUGUCGCCCGUGACACCUCGGGGCCUCUACCCUGCCCGGGUCCCGAGGUGUCACCUUCCGGCCCGGCCCCUGCGCCUGACGCGGGUCCCGGGUCGGCACCUUCGACACCGGCCCCACCGGUACGCUUCGCCCAGCCGGUGCGUGUCUACCAGCGACGUGCUCCCGGCGUGGGGUCGGCACCUUCGACACCGGCCCCACCGGCACGUUACGCCCAGCCGAUGCGCGUCUACCAGCGACGUGCCCGGCUGGCGCCGCUGCCUCCGGCGGCGCCGGUGGCCCCCUCUUCGCCGGGGUCACCUGCGCCACCGGUGACGUCUUCCCCGCCGGCGACACCGACCCCGCCGCCACGACACCCAGCUACUCGGGCCGUGACGCCGGUGUACCACCCACCGCUCCUUCACCGACACCCGCGUCAUGUUCACCCGAUGGUGACGCGACAUGCGGCUGGGACCCUGCAGCCCCGGGCUCUUGCGGCGAUGCCCGGGGACUCGCAGGUCUCACCGGUACCCUCUUCCGUCCGCGAGGCCUUGCUGGACCCUCACUGGCGCCGCGCGAUGGAAGAGGAGUACGCGGCCCUCCUCGCCAACCAGACAUGGGAUCUGGUGCCACGACCGCCGGGCUCCAACAUCGUCACCGGCAAGUGGAUCUGGACCCACAAGCGCCGGGCUGACGGCACACUUGAGCGGUACAAGGCUCGCUGGGUUCUCCGGGGCUUCACUCAGCUACCCGGUGUCGACUACGACGAGACCUUCAGCCCGGUGGUGAAGCCGGCCACCGUCCGCACGGUGCUCUCACUGGCUCUCACGCGCGGGUGGCCCGUGCAUCAGCUGGACGUCAAGAAUGCCUUCCUGCAUGGCGUUCUUACUGAGACAGUCUACUGCAGUCAGCCGGCGGGAUUUGUUGACUCUUCUUGUCCUGACAUGGUGUGUCGGCUCAACAAGUCUCUCUACGGCCUCAAGCAGGCCCCCCCGGGCGUGGAACCAUCGGUUUGCUGGUUUUCUGCUGACUUUGGGGUUUGUGGAGGCCAAGUCAGAUACCUCUCUGUUCAUCUAUCACCAUGGGGCAGAGACUGCAUAUCUGCUGCUCUAUGUUGAUGACAUUGUCCUCACAACCUCCACUGAGUCACUCCUUCGGCGGAUCAUUGCAUCACUUCAGCAGGAGUUUGCCAUGAAGGAUCUGGGUGCUCUACAUCACUUUCUCGGGGUCACUGUUGAGCCUCACCCUGCUGGAUUACUCCUUCACCAGCGGCAGUACACUCUUGAUAUCCUGGAGAGAGCUGGGAUGACUGACUGCAAGCCCUGCUCCACUCCGGUUGACACACAGGGCAAGAUAUCGGAGGCUGAGGGUAUACCAGUGACAGAUCCCACCGCUUAUCGGAGUCUUGCCGGGGCACUUCAGUACCUCACCUUCACUCGGCCGGAUAUCACCUAUGCAGUACAGCAGAUCUGCCUCCAUAUGCAUGAUCCUCGGGAGCCACACCUCGCCGCUCUCAAGCGGAUCCUACGGUACCUCCGCGGCACAGUCGACUUCGGUCUUCUCCUUCACCGACGGUCGUCCUCCACCGAGCUCGUCGUCUACACCGACGCCGACUGGGCCGGGUGCCCGGACACCCGCCGCUCCACCUCCGGCUACGCCGUCUUCUUAGGCGGCAACCUGGUGUCUUGGUCGUCCAAGCGACAGCCGGUCGUCUCCCGCUCCAGUGCCGAGGCGGAGUACCGUGCUGUCGCCAACGGCGUGGCUGAGGCUUCCUGGCUCCGUCAGCUCCUCGCCGAGCUCCACAGCCCUCUCUCCCGGAGCGCACUGGUCUACUGCGACAACGUCAGUGCGGUGUACCUCUCCACCAACCCGGUCCAGCACCAGAGGACCAAGCAUGUGGAGAUCGAUCUACACUUCGUCCGGGACCGGGUCGCUGUCGGCGAUGUUCGGGUCCUCCACGUCCCGACCACCUCCCAGUUCGCCGACAUCUUCACCAAGGGUCUCCCGUCCUCGACAUUCACCGAGUUCCGUACCAGCCUCAACAUCACCAGUGGCUAGUUGUGUCUGUGGGGGGCUCGUGUGUUGUACCUCUUUUCUUUCGUGUCCAGUCUGCGAACUCCGCUGCGACGGCAGUUCAGACUGCGGGGGGAUGUUAGAGUAUAUGAGUAUUAGGCCCAUGAGGCUAGGCCCAUGAGGCCCAUGUAUCCCUAACUAUAUGGCCACCCUGAUUAGGGUUAGCCCAAUAAUGAAAUCAGAAAGUCUAACAAAGGACAUCUGCACAGUUGAUGAGAUGUUUGAGUGGUUCAAUAACGAAAGCUUCUCAGGUACAACUCCAAUAGCUUCUCAGGCGGAAAUCAAUGUUCACUUGCAUCUCUCUAUUUUUACUCUCUUGUCAUUCAACCAUCACUAUUCACUUUCUUCUGCUUCAUUCCUGGCAGCUUUAUACCACUUUGGCUCGUAUAUGACCUUUCUCUGAAGUCGCUUGGUUUUUAUGAUCUUUUCUUUUCAAACCAAGUAGUAGAAAAUGUUUUUCUUCAGAAUGGGUUGCGGUAAUCCAUCUUGUGUUCUUCUUUGUUCUAGUACGUGCCAUGUAUCUUGUUUUUUGAAUCUACGACAAUUGUUGUGAUACAUUAUUAUGGGUGAACAAACACAGCAUGGCCUGUGACUUGAGUGGUUCUUCCCCUUCUAAAAAUAGAAAGCAUAGUGCCACAAAACUGAAAUCAUUUCGCCAGACCAGUGCAUCCAGUAGAACAAGUGCUAUGUUCCUAGGUAGACUAGAUGGUUUUCUAAAAUGUUUUUUUCCUAAAGUUUUCUAACCAGUAUGUUGCUAGGUAACUUACCCCUAAGUACUGCUACCAGUACAAUUGCUAAGCCCUCAGCUGCACAGUACCAAAUCAGGAGGACACUAAUUUUAAUCAUGUUUGUUAUUCCAGUUCUGAACAACUGCACCGAAGAGUUGCUUUAUGAGGCCUCACAGUUGCAUACGUGCUC
RNAcentral lists this long non-coding RNA (7167 nucleotides) under Sorghum bicolor (sorghum). Its description in RNAcentral is "long non-coding RNA (SBIC_LNC011538)". The record is from RNAcentral. Lineage: Eukaryota; Viridiplantae; Streptophyta; Magnoliopsida; Poales; Poaceae.